AGCUGUUCAAAGAGGACACCCUGAAGGAGCUGUACAACUCCAAGGACAAGCAGCGUCUGACCUACGUCAAGUGGCUACGGCGGAAGACACCGCAGCCUGGGAGCUCCAUGGAUGUCGCCAUUAAGUACAUCUCGGGCCGAGACAAGGAGCGGUCGGCGGAGGCGGCUGCUACACCCCCUCCGCCCGCCAGCAGCAGCGGCCCCAGCACCUCCACCAGCAAGGCCGCUGCUUCCACCGUGCUGCCGCCCCGUAAGCCGACCGCUCCCAAUUUCUCGGCCCUUGUGCCGGGCGUCCGAUGGUCCCAGGGGAGCUGCAGGCCCAGAUCAGGAAACUGAUGACCCCACCAGCACGGCCUGGCAACUUAAGGACAAGAUAUGGUGCCCAGAAGGGGAUGCUGUAUGGAGCGACAGCGCUGGACCCGCGUUUUAAGGCCCUCCUCUCCCUGACUGCUGAAGAGCAAGAUGAGGUAUUUUCC
Gadus chalcogrammus (walleye pollock) is the source of this 475-nucleotide long non-coding RNA. RefSeq lists it as uncharacterized. NCBI's taxonomy places the organism in Eukaryota, Metazoa, Chordata, Actinopteri, Gadiformes, Gadidae. The record is from RefSeq and is a predicted model, not a curated record. The transcript is spliced from 3 exons.